Molecule: non-coding RNA, 72 nt
Organism: Paramuricea clavata
Lineage: Eukaryota; Metazoa; Cnidaria; Anthozoa; Malacalcyonacea; Plexauridae
Source: the annotation of a GenBank genome assembly
UUUUCCGUAGUACAGUGGUCAUUACGUGCGCCACACAAACGCAUGGACCCAGUUCGAAACAGGGCGAAAAUU